AUGGCCCUGGCUUCCUCACCAUGCACGAACCUCAAUGGCGCCGCCGCCCUAAGGUUCGCCACCGGUCGCCUCAUCCUCCAGAUUUGGGCCGCAAGCACCAAGUACCCUUUGGAUACGCCAAGGUCGACUAUGCUUGAUGAGGCGACAAGUACCUCCACCGAUGACUCGAACGUCUACGAACCAUAUACGACUACCGUCGCCAAAGGCCGUCGAGUGAACAACCACCACCGCUGUGAGUUCGACAAGAAAACGUGUGUACCACUACCGUCGGCCUUCGAAGACUCCGUGGGCAUCAAGUUCUUCGCUGUGACCCCAAACAUUAACGAAAUGCGAAUGACUAUUUGCCACGAUGAUCCGUGA
Molecule: ribosomal RNA, 360 nt
Filed under: Triticum aestivum (bread wheat)
Lineage: Eukaryota; Viridiplantae; Streptophyta; Magnoliopsida; Poales; Poaceae
Description: partial small subunit ribosomal RNA
Source: RNAcentral